UUUAAACGCAGCCAUAAAUUUCCGUGUACAACUUUGAUCGCCCGUCUUAUUUAAUUUUUUUAUGAUUAGUAUUUUUAUAGUUAUUAGAUGAUAAAACAUAAAUAGUAUUUUAUGCAUGACUUAUGUUUUUUUUUAAUUUUACUUUUUUUAAAAAAAUAAGGUAGACGAUUAAAGUUAAACAUAAAAACAUAAAAACUCAUGGUUACGCUUAAA
MicroRNA precursor from Oryza rufipogon (brownbeard rice), 213 nucleotides. It matches the Rfam family "MIR812 microRNA precursor family". NCBI's taxonomy places the organism in Eukaryota, Viridiplantae, Streptophyta, Magnoliopsida, Poales, Poaceae. The record is from Rfam.